RNAcentral lists this ribosomal RNA (508 nucleotides) under uncultured bacterium. Its description in RNAcentral is "partial 16S ribosomal RNA". It matches the Rfam family "Bacterial small subunit ribosomal RNA", at positions 28 to 507 of the family's 1533-position model. The record is from RNAcentral.
GACGAACGCUGGCGGCGUGCCUAAUACAUGCAAGUCGAGCGCAGGAAGUCAUCCGAACCCUUCGGGGGGACGUUGACGGAAUGAGCGGCGGACGGGUGAGUAACACGUAAAGAACCUGCCCUCAGGUCUGGGAUAACCACGAGAAAUCGGGGCUAAUACCGGAUGGGUCAUCGGACCGCAUGGUCCGAGGAUUAAAGGCGCUCCGGCGUCGCCUGGGGAUGGCUUUGCGGUGCAUUAGCUAGUUGGUGGGGUAAUGGCCCACCAAGGCGACGAUGCAUAGCCGACCUGAGAGGGUGAUCGGCCACACUGGGACUGAGACACGGCCCAGACUCCUACGGGAGGCAGCAGUAGGGAAUCUUCCACAAUGGACGAAAGUCUGAUGGAGCAACGCCGCGUGAACGAUGAAGGCCCUCGGGUCGUAAAGUUCUGUUGUAAGGGAAGAACAAGUGCCGCAGGAAAUGGCGGCACCUUGACGGUACCUUGCGAGAAAGCCACGGCUAACUACGUG